UACGUAGGGCGCAAGCGUUGUCCGGAAUUAUUGGGCGUAAAGAGCUCGUAGGCGGCUUGUCACUUCGGGUGUGAAAGCCCGGGGCUUAACCCCGGGUCUGCAUUCGAUACGGGCUAGCUAGAGUGUGGUAGGGGAGAUCGGAAUUCCUGGUGUAGCGGUGAAAUGCGCAGAUAUCAGGAGGAACACCAGUGGGGAAGGCGGAGCUCUGGGCCAUUACUGACGCUGAGGAGCGAAAGCGUGGGGAGCGAACAGG
Molecule: ribosomal RNA, 253 nt
Filed under: uncultured bacterium
Lineage: Bacteria
Description: partial 16S ribosomal RNA
Rfam family: Bacterial small subunit ribosomal RNA
Source: RNAcentral